UUCUAUUAGAACUAAUUAAUAGUAAAAUCUGCUCAAUGAAACUUAAAUAGCCGCGAUUACGUGCUAAGGUAGCAUAAUAAUUUGUCUUUUAAUUAAAGACCAGAAUAAACGAUUUAACAUUUUAAUUUUUUCCUUAAAUUUAUUUAUUUAAAUUAUUUUAAAUGUAAAAAAACAUUUAUAAAUCAGAAAGACGACAAGACCCUAUUGAACUUAACUUAAGUUUAACUGGGGCAGUUAAUUAAUUAACAUUUUAAUUCAAAACAAAUCAAACUAAUCCAAUAAAAUUGAUAAUCAAGUUACCAUAGGGAUAACAGCGCAAUAUAAUUCUAUAGAUCUUAUUAAAAAUUAAAUUUGCGACCUCGAUGUUGAUUAAUCCUCUAGUUUACGCAAUAGUAAACAAAGAAAGUCUGUUCGACUUUUAAUUAAUUACA
This 431-nucleotide ribosomal RNA is filed under the name Borboropactus sp. MR411. RNAcentral describes it as "partial 16S ribosomal RNA". It matches the Rfam family "Bacterial large subunit ribosomal RNA", at positions 1831 to 2600 of the family's 2925-position model. Lineage: Eukaryota; Metazoa; Arthropoda; Arachnida; Araneae; Thomisidae. The record is from RNAcentral.